RNAcentral lists this ribosomal RNA (262 nucleotides) under uncultured bacterium. RNAcentral describes it as "partial 16S ribosomal RNA". It matches the Rfam family "Bacterial small subunit ribosomal RNA", at positions 92 to 354 of the family's 1533-position model. The record is from RNAcentral.
CGACCGGCGCACGGGUGAGUAACACGUAUGGAACCUGCCCGCAGCAGGGGGAUAAGCGGAAGAAAUUCCGUCUAAUACCGCGUAACAACGUUGGGAGGCAUCUCCCGAUGUUUAAAGAUUUAUCGGCUGCGGAUGGCCAUGCGGCGCAUUAGCUAGUCGGCGGGGUAACGGCCCACCGAGGCGACGAUGCGUAGGGGUUCUGAGAGGAAGGUCCCCCACACUGGUACUGAGACACGGACCAGACUCCUACGGAAGGCAGCAG